This 468-nucleotide ribosomal RNA is filed under the name uncultured bacterium. RNAcentral describes it as "partial 16S ribosomal RNA". It matches the Rfam family "Bacterial small subunit ribosomal RNA", at positions 28 to 507 of the family's 1533-position model. The record is from RNAcentral.
GACGAACGCUGGCGGCGUGCUUAACACAUGCAAGUCGAACGGCAAGGCCCUGCUUUUGUGGGGUGCUCGAGUGGCGAACGGGUGAGUAACACGUGAGUAACCUGCCCUUGACUUUGGGAUAACUUCAGGAAACUGGGGCUAAUCCCGUAUCGGAGCUCCUGCUGCAUGGUGGGGGUUGGAAAGUUUCGGCGGUUGGGGAUGGACUCGCGGCUUAUCAGCUUGUUGGUGGGGUAGUGGCUUACCAAGGCUUUGACGGGUAGCCGGCCUGAGAGGGUGACCGGCCACAUUGGGACUGAGAUACGGCCCAGACUCCUACGGGGGGCAGCAGUGGGGAAUAUUGCACAAUGGGCGGAAGCCUGAUGCAGCAACGCCGCGUGCGGGAUGACGGCCUUCGGGGUGUAAACCGCUUUCGCCUGUGACGAAGCGUGAGUGACGGUAAUGGGUAAAGAAGCACCGGCUAACUACGUG